GUACACAAUGUUUAUAAUUCCAGGGAAGUGAAAAGAGCAACUUUCCUCUAUAAUGUAAUUAUGUACUUUCUACAUCUAUGGUAACAAUACCUUAGUUUGAUUAUAGGUAUUUGUUUAGCGAUAGUCAGUUGGCCCUAGGCUAUAGUUCUAGAGGGUUUGGAAAAUCUCCCACAUCAGAGGUGGAAGCAGUGGAAGGAAAACAACAACAAAGGAUCAUGAUAAAGGACUCUGCUGUUACUCAAUGGAGAUACUAAUGCUAUGGAAACCAGCCAUAGGAAAUAAGCCAUUUGGGGAUGGUGUAAAGAGCAGGCUAUAAUGAAACCACUUAUAAUAUGUAAGCUGGAUGCAGAGAACUCCAAGACCCUAGAAAAUGAUGACGCCCCUAGAUGGAAGGAGCCUCAGAUCCUGAAUGACGGGUAGAGAGGGGAGGGAAAAGUAAACCUUUAUGUGUUAAGCCACUGAGAUUUGGGAGUGGCAUGUUUCAGCAGGUAGCUUACCUUGACUGACACAUCUAGUAACUAAGUUCUUUAAUUCAAGUAGACAUAGACGUUCCUUUUCCUAACCAAAAGUAUUGAUUCAUAACAUCCACAUAUAUUUCUCACUAGCUCUUAAGACGUAUCAAAAUGGUAAUGUGGUGUCAGGUUCAGUCAUAGCUUCUGAAAACUUCCCACCAUUUCUCAACCUCAGUUUAAAAUCAACUUGAUCUUUCC
This 710-nucleotide long non-coding RNA is filed under the name Homo sapiens (human). RNAcentral describes it as "non-protein coding lnc-ALX4-5:6". Lineage: Eukaryota; Metazoa; Chordata; Mammalia; Primates; Hominidae. The record is from RNAcentral.